This 253-nucleotide ribosomal RNA is filed under the name uncultured bacterium. Its description in RNAcentral is "partial 16S ribosomal RNA". It matches the Rfam family "Bacterial small subunit ribosomal RNA", at positions 524 to 776 of the family's 1533-position model. The record is from RNAcentral.
GACAGAGGGGGCAAGCGUUGCUCGGAAUUACUGGGCGUAAAGGGCGCGUAGGCGGGAUGGCAAGUCGGUCGUGAAAUCCCUCGGCUCAACUGAGGGUCGUCGAUCGAUACUGCCGUGCUUGAGGAUUGCAGAGGAGACUGGAAUUCCCGGUGUAGCGGUGAAAUGUGUAGAGAUCGGGAGGAACACCGGUGGCGAAGGCGGGUCUCUGGGCAAUACCUGACGCUGAGGCGCGAAAGCGUGGGGAGCAAACGGG